GCGAUUGAGGGACUGGGGCUCUGGACUGUUGGAUCCUAUUUCGGGGAAAACUUGGGAUAAUCAUGGUCAUAACUGUUUCCUGAAAUUCCGUGCCAGCAGCCGCGGUAAUACGGGAGUGGCAAGCGUUAUCCGGAAUUAUUGGGCGUAAAGCGUCCGCAGGCGGCCCUGAAAGUCUGUCGUUAAAGCGUGGAGCUCAACUCCAUUUCAGCGAUGGAAACUACAGGGCUUGAGUGUGGUAGGGGCAGAGGGAAUUCCCGGUGUAGCGGUGAAAUGCGUAGAUAUCGGGAAGAACACCAGUGGCGAAGGCGCUCUGCUGGGCCAUARYUGACGCUCAUGGACGAAACCCAGGGGAGCGAAAGGGAUUAAAUACCCCUGUAGUCCUGGCCGUAAACAAUGAACACUAGGUGUCGGGGGAAUCGACCCCCUCGGGGUCGUAGCCAACGCGUUAAGUGUUCCGCCUGGGGAGUACGCACGCAAGUGUGAAACUCAAAGGAAUUGACGGGGGCCCGCACAAGCGGUGGAGUAUGUGGUUUAAUUCGAUGCAACGCGAAUAACCUUACCAGGGUUUGACAUCCUGCGAAUCCCUUGGAAACGAGKGGGUGCCUUCGGGAGCGCAGAGACAGGYGGUGCAUGGCUGUCGUCAGCUCGUGUCGUGAGAUGUUGGGCUAAGUCCCGCAACGAGCGCACCCACGUUCGUUAGUUGCCAGCAUUCAGUUGGGCACUCUWGCGAGACCGCCGGUGAUAAACCGGAGGAAGGUGWGGAUGACGUCAAGUCAUCAUGCCCCUUACAUCCUGGGCUACACACGUACUACAAUGCUCCGUACAAAGGGUAGCAAGCUCGUGAGAUAUAGCAAAUACCAUUCGCUGUGGAUCAGAUCAGAUCAUAGUCUGCAGAUUGCGUACGCGAAGGAGGAAUCCCUAGUAAUCGCCGGUCAGCAAGUUGCGCAGAAUACGUUUCCGGACUUCGUACACCCCGGGAGUCACACCAUGGAAGUGGGCCACGCGCGAAGUCGUUACUCCAACCAAGGUGGAGGAGGACGAAGAAGGGGGGGGAUCUGCUCGGGGCGAAGUGGCAACAAGGUAGCCGUACCGGAAGGUG
RNAcentral lists this ribosomal RNA (1099 nucleotides) under uncultured cyanobacterium. RNAcentral describes it as "bacterial SSU rRNA". It matches the Rfam family "Bacterial small subunit ribosomal RNA", at positions 401 to 1514 of the family's 1533-position model. Lineage: Bacteria; Bacillati; Cyanobacteriota. The record is from RNAcentral.